This 1338-nucleotide ribosomal RNA is filed under the name uncultured bacterium. RNAcentral describes it as "bacterial SSU rRNA". It matches the Rfam family "Bacterial small subunit ribosomal RNA". The record is from RNAcentral.
AGAGUUUGAUCAUGGCUCAGAACGUACGCUGGCGGCACGCCUAACACAUGCAAGUCGAACGAAGUAGCAAUACUUAGUGGCAGACGGGUGAGUAACAUGUAGGUAUCUGCCCUUUGGCCUGGAAUAACACGAGGAAACUUGUGCUAAUACCGGAUAAGUCUUUACGGAGAAAGCUUUAUGCACCAUUGGAUGAGCCUGCACUUGAUUAGUUUGUUGGUGGGGUAAUGGCCUACCAAGACUGUGAUCAAUAGCUGAUUUGAGAGGAUGAUCAGCCACAUUGGGACUGAGACACGGCCCAAACUCCUACGGGAGGCAGCAGUGGGGAAUCUUGCACAAUGGAGGAAACUCUGAUGCAGCGAUGCCGCGUGAGUGAAGAAGGCCUUUGGGUUGUAAAGCUCUUUCGUCGGGGAAGAAAAUGACUGUACCCGAAUAAGAAGGUCCGGCUAACUUCGUGCCAGCAGCCGCGGUAAUACGAAGGGACCUAGCGUAGUUCGGAAUUACUGGGCUUAAAGAGUUCGUAGGUGGUUGAAAAAGUUAGUGGUGAAAUCCCAGAGCUUAACUCUGGAACUGCCAUUAAAACUUUUCAGCUAGAGUAUGAUAGAGGAAAGCAGAAUUUCUAGUGUAGAGGUGAAAUUCGUAGAUAUUAGAAAGAAUACCAAUUGCGAAGGCAGCUUUCUGGAUCAUUACUGACACUGAGGAACGAAAGCAUGGGCAGCGAAGAGGAUUAGAUACCCUCGUAGUCCAUGCCGUAAACGAUGUGUGUUAGACGUUGGAAAUUUAUUUUCAGUGUCGCAGCGAAAGCGAUAAACACACCGCCUGGGGAGUACGACCGCAAGGUUAAAACUCAAAUGAAUUGACGGGGACCCGCACAAGUAGUGGAGCAUGUGGUUUAAUUCGAAGAUACGCGCAGAACCUUACCAACACUUGACAUGUUCGUCGCGACUCUAAGAGAUUAGAGUUUUCGGUUCGGCCGGACGAAACACAGGUGCUGCAUGGCUGUCGUCAGCUCGUGUCGUGAGAUGUUGGGUUAAGUCCCGCAACGAGCGCAACCCUCACUUUUAGUUGCCAUCAUUUAGUUGGGCACUCUGAAAGAACUGCCAGUGAUAAGCUGGAGGAAGGUGGGGAUGACGUCAAGUCCUCAUGGCCCUUACGUGUUGGGCUACACACGUGCUACAAUGGUAUCUACAACAGGAAGCAAGACGGCGACGUUAAGCAAAUCCUUAAAAGAUACCUCAGUUCGGAUUGCACUCUGCAACUCGAGUGCAUGAAGCUGGAAUUACUAGUAAUCGUGGAUCAGCGUGCCACGGUGAAUGCGUUCCCNGGGUCUUGUACACACCG